UAAAUAUGCAUUGAUCUGGCAAACUUCAUUAUUAUUUAUCUAAAUGUUCUCUUGUCUCCCUAACACUUAAUAACAAUAAUGAAGAAUAAUUCUAAGUUCCAACGCUGCAAAAAUAUCCAGUAACCAAACCAAGAUUGGGGUCCCACUGUGCUCGGCGCCCUACAAACACAAUGGGAGAUUGGCUGUGACCCCAAAGCAGGGCUGGCUCAGCUUUUCUGCCGCCCCAAGCAGCAAAAAAAAUAAAUAAAGAAAGAAGACGAGCGGCGGGACUUCGGCAGCAGGUCCUCCCUCUCUUCCUCUUCGGUGGCAAUUCAGCGGCAGCUCAAAGAGGAAGAGAGGGAAUGAGGGACCCGCUGCCGAAUUGCCGCAGAAGACCCAGGUGUGCUGCUCUGAUACCGGAUGGAGUGCCACUCCUUUGAAUUGGCCGCCCCAAGCACCUGCUUCCUACGCUGGUGCCCGGAGCCGGCCCUGCCCCAAAGAACUUGCAAUCUAUAUGAAACAGACAAAGGGCCGUGGAAAGCAGGAGAUAACUGUAGUGCAAUGGACGCUAGCCAAACAAUACACCUCCUGAUCUGUCCAGGGCCAGUGUGGAGUCCUUUGACCAGCUUGGCAGCUGCCAUGGUGAUGAGAACACAUAGGGAGCCAUUUGCACCACUUUACAAGCUUAUUGCAACUGAGAAUCAAGUUCUGUGCAGCUCAGAGCACUUUGGUAAUGUCUGGCGGUCAGCUGCAGCACACACCAAGAGUUCAGUUUCUCCCGGAAGCAUUCCCCUUUCAAAGAGGAGCUGAAGAGUGGAAGAAUUUCAUGAAUGUCUUGAUUCCUUUGUUUUAUCACUGGUAGCUGUGGGGAUUCCUACAUCAAGGUACAUCUGUGUUUUGCAAGCAGAAGUACCAUCUGGAGAAAUGUUUCUAAUCUGUAUCAAGAGUUAUUAUUACGUCUGAUAAUGUUCUCUUUGCUUGAAGGUGAUGAUGAAAGAACUUAAAGACUGC
Molecule: long non-coding RNA, 990 nt
Organism: Gopherus flavomarginatus (Mexican gopher tortoise)
Lineage: Eukaryota; Metazoa; Chordata; Testudines; Testudinidae
Exons: 5
Source: RefSeq, a predicted model, not a curated record